CCUGGUGGCUCAGAUGGUAAAGCAUCUGCUUGCAAUGCAGGAGACCUGGGUUUGAUCCCUGGGUCAGGA
Molecule: transfer RNA, 69 nt
Filed under: Bos taurus (domestic cattle)
Lineage: Eukaryota; Metazoa; Chordata; Mammalia; Artiodactyla; Bovidae
Also listed under: 5 other names
Rfam family: tRNA
About the family: Transfer RNA (tRNA) molecules are approximately 80 nucleotides in length. Their secondary structure includes four short double-helical elements and three loops (D, anti-codon, and T loops).
Source: Rfam by way of RNAcentral